GCGGGAGUGCCGGAGCGGUCAAAAACGGGAUAGGCUAAGGACCUAUUGGCUUAGUGCCUGCGCAGGUUCGAACCCUGUCUCCCGCA
Molecule: transfer RNA, 86 nt
Filed under: Candidatus Woesearchaeota archaeon
Lineage: Archaea; Nanobdellati; Candidatus Woesearchaeota
Description: tRNA-Leu
Rfam family: tRNA
About the family: Transfer RNA (tRNA) molecules are approximately 80 nucleotides in length. Their secondary structure includes four short double-helical elements and three loops (D, anti-codon, and T loops).
Source: RNAcentral